CCUACGGGUGCAGCAGUGAGGAAUAUUGGUCAAUGGGCGCGAGCCUGAACCAGCCAAGUCGCGUGAGGGAAGACGGUCCUAUUGAUUGUAAACCUCCUUUUUCGGGGAGCAAAAGACGCCACGCGUUGCCUUCCGAGAGUAACCCAAGAAAAAGCCUCGGCUAACUCCGUGCCCGCAGCCGCGGUAAUACGGAGGAUGCGAGCGUUUUCCGGAUUUAUUGGGUUUAAAGGGUGCGUAGGCGGGCUUUUAAGUCAGCGGUAAAAAUUCGGGGGUCAACCCCGUCCGGCCGUUGAAACUGGGGGCCUUGAGUGGGCGAGAAGAAGGCGGAAUGCGUGGUGUAGCGGUGAAAUGCAUAGAUAUCACGCAGAACCCCGAUUGCGAAGGCAGCCUUCCGGCGCCCUACUGACGCUGAGGCACGAAAGUGCGGGGAUCGAACAGGAUUAGAUACCCUGGUAGUC
RNAcentral lists this ribosomal RNA (458 nucleotides) under uncultured bacterium. Its description in RNAcentral is "partial 16S ribosomal RNA". It matches the Rfam family "Bacterial small subunit ribosomal RNA", at positions 338 to 795 of the family's 1533-position model. The record is from RNAcentral.